CCUCUGUGUUCUACAGCAGUUACCCACGCACAGUGGUAUCAGCUACACACGCACAGUGGUAUCUGGGACCAGUUUUGUGGACUCAAAGGUUUUCUACCUGAGAGGCAUAACGCAGGUCAGCUGAUUCAUCGGAAUCAGGAUGGAAAUCGCAGAGGAUGCAGAUAGUUUGUGGGCACAGGAGCGAGAGAACAUCAUUAUGAACUAUGAGAAGGGAUACCGAGCUGGGCUGCCAGAGGACAUGGGGCCUGAGCCUGUUGGAAUCUACAACAACAUUGAUCGCUUUGGAAUUCUGCAUGAGACAGAGCUGCCUCCUGCCACUGCUCGGGAGGUGAAGGUAAGAACCUGAUGCAUGGAGGGGCUGGUUCAGGGGCGUGGGGACUGGGCGAGUGGUCGGUGAGGCAGAGGAGGCAGCUGG
This is a non-coding RNA of Macaca mulatta (Rhesus monkey), 415 nucleotides long. Lineage: Eukaryota; Metazoa; Chordata; Mammalia; Primates; Cercopithecidae. The record is from RefSeq and is a predicted model, not a curated record.